GACGAACGCUGGCGGCGUGCUUAACACAUGCAAGUCGAACGGAGAGGCCCUGCUUUUGUGGGGUGCUCGAGUGGCGAACGGGUGAGUAACACGUGAGUAACCUGCCCUUGACUUUGGGAUAACUUCAGGAAACUGGGGCUAAUACCGGAUAGGAGCUCCUGCUGCAUGGUGGGGGUUGGAAAGUUUCGGCGGUUGGGGAUGGACUCGCGGCUUAUCAGCUUGUUGGUGGGGUAGUGGCUUACCAAGGCUUUGACGGGUAGCCGGCCUGAGAGGGUGACCGGCCACAUUGGGACUGAGAUACGGCCCAGACUCCUACGGGAGGCAGCAGUGGGGAAUAUUGCACAAUGGGCGGAAGCCUGAUGCAGCAACGCCGCGUGCGGGAUGACGGCCUUCGGGUUGUAAACCGCUUUCGCCUGUGACGAAGCGGGAGUGACGGUAAUGGGUAAAGAAGCACCGGCUAACUACGUG
This 468-nucleotide ribosomal RNA is filed under the name uncultured bacterium. Its description in RNAcentral is "partial 16S ribosomal RNA". It matches the Rfam family "Bacterial small subunit ribosomal RNA", at positions 28 to 507 of the family's 1533-position model. The record is from RNAcentral.